Molecule: ribosomal RNA, 468 nt
Filed under: uncultured bacterium
Lineage: Bacteria
Description: partial 16S ribosomal RNA
Rfam family: Bacterial small subunit ribosomal RNA
Source: RNAcentral
GACGAACGCUGGCGGCGUGCUUAACACAUGCAAGUCGAACGGAAAGGCCCUGCUUUUGUGGGGUGCUCGAGUGGCGAACGGGUGAGUAACACGUGAGUAACCUGCCCUUGACUUUGGGAUAACUUCAGGAAACUGGGGCUAAUACCGGAUAGGAGCUCCUGCUGCAUGGUGGGGGUUGAAAAGUUUCGGCGGUUGGGGAUGGACUCGCGGCUUAUCAGCUUGUUGGUGGGGUAGUGGCUUACCAAGGCUUUGACGGGUAGCCGGCCUGAGAGGGUGACCGGCCACAUGGGGACUGAGAUACGGCACAGAAUCCUACGGGAGGCAGCAGUGGGGAAUAUUGCAAAAUGGGCGGAAGCCUGAUGCAGCAACGCCGCGUGCGGGAUGACGGCCUUCGGGUUGUAAACCGCUUUCGCCUGUGACGAAGCGUGAGUGACGGUAAUGGGUAAAGAAGCACCGGCUAACUACGUG